GUGGACUCCGUCCCUGAUAAAAAUUUCGGAGUGUAAAUUCAAAUCAUUUGAACACUGCUGCAUAUUU
Long non-coding RNA from Octopus sinensis (East Asian common octopus), 67 nucleotides. RefSeq lists it as uncharacterized. The transcript is spliced from 3 exons. NCBI's taxonomy places the organism in Eukaryota, Metazoa, Mollusca, Cephalopoda, Octopoda, Octopodidae. The record is from RefSeq and is a predicted model, not a curated record.